UCUUGCAAACUAAAGAUGGCGACCGGCGCACGGGUGAGUAACACGUAUCCAACCUGCCGAUAACUCGGGGAUAGCCUUUCGAAAGAAAGAUUAAUAUCCGAUAGUAUAUUAAAACCGCAUGGUUUUACUAUUAAAGAGUUUCGGUUAUCGAUGGGGAUGCGUUCCAUUAGUUUGUUGGCGGGGUAACGGCCCACCAAGACUACGAUGGAUAGGGGUUCUGAGAGGAAGGUCCCCCACAUUGGAACUGAGACACGGUCCAA
This 260-nucleotide ribosomal RNA is filed under the name uncultured bacterium. RNAcentral's name for it is "partial 16S ribosomal RNA". It matches the Rfam family "Bacterial small subunit ribosomal RNA", at positions 73 to 334 of the family's 1533-position model. The record is from RNAcentral.